AAUUUUAAAUGAUAAAAGUAUAUUGAUUGUUUAUAAUAAUGUGUUCAUAUUUGCAAUCAACGUGCUACACUUAUUACCAAAUUCACAAUUGCCUUUACUUUUUAGCACUGUGGGACAACCUUUACAGAAUCUAAAAUUCGUCAGCUUAUAACCAACCAGGCACCAACAUGGAAAAGAAACCGCUGAUAAUGCCCCAACUUAAACCUCCCUGUUUUGGAUAUAAGAUGCUGGAUGGAGUUUUUAAUCAGGCGUUUCUUUGCGUUGAUGGGAAACAUUGAAACGCUUUGGUUUCAAUGGUUUUACGACCAGUUAAUCACACUAAUUGCAUUUUCUUUCCUUUUUCUGUUCUUUUCGCUUUAAAUGUAAAUAAAUAAUGACGUGUUA
Ciona intestinalis (vase tunicate) is the source of this 384-nucleotide non-coding RNA. The record is from RefSeq and is a predicted model, not a curated record. Lineage: Eukaryota; Metazoa; Chordata; Ascidiacea; Phlebobranchia; Cionidae.